RNAcentral lists this ribosomal RNA (462 nucleotides) under Pichia kudriavzevii. RNAcentral describes it as "eukaryotic LSU rRNA". It matches the Rfam family "Eukaryotic large subunit ribosomal RNA", at positions 118 to 595 of the family's 3401-position model. The record is from RNAcentral. Lineage: Eukaryota; Fungi; Ascomycota; Pichiomycetes; Pichiales; Pichiaceae.
AAAUCGUGCUUUGCGGCACGAGUUGUAGAUUGCAGGUUGGAGUCUGUGUGGAAGGCGGUGUCCAAGUCCCUUGGAACAGGGCGCCCAGGAGGGUGAGAGCCCCGUGGGAUGCCGGCGGAAGCAGUGAGGCCCUUCUGACGAGUCGAGUUGUUUGGGAAUGCAGCUCCAAGCGGGUGGUAAAUUCCAUCUAAGGCUAAAUACUGGCGAGAGACCGAUAGCGAACAAGUACUGUGAAGGAAAGAUGAAAAGCACUUUGAAAAGAGAGUGAAACAGCACGUGAAAUUGUUGAAAGGGAAGGGUAUUGCGCCCGACAUGGGGAUUGCGCACCGCUGCCUCUCGUGGGCGGCGCUCUGGGCUUUCCCUGGGCCAGCAUCGGUUCUUGCUGCAGGAGAAGGGGUUCUGGAACGUGGCUCUUCGGAGUGUUAUAGCCAGGGCCAGAUGCUGCGUGCGGGGACCGAGGAC